UACGAGGGGUGCAAGCGUUGCUCGGAAUUAUUGGGCGUAAAGGGUAGGUAGGUGGUCUCAUUUGUCUGGGGUGAAAGCCUUGAGCUUAACUCGAGAAGUGCCUCAGAAACGGUGAGACUAGAGUUCUGGAGAGGGUCGUGGAAUUCCCGGUGUAGCGGUGAAAUGCGUAGAGAUCGGGAGGAACACCAGAGGCGAAGGCGGCGUCCUGGACCAACACUGACACUGAUGAGCGAAAGCCAGGGGAGCAAACGGG
RNAcentral lists this ribosomal RNA (253 nucleotides) under uncultured bacterium. RNAcentral describes it as "partial 16S ribosomal RNA". It matches the Rfam family "Bacterial small subunit ribosomal RNA", at positions 524 to 776 of the family's 1533-position model. The record is from RNAcentral.